CGCACAUUGCGCCCUUUGGUAUUCCUUAGGGCAUGCUUGUUCGAGCGUCAUUCUCACCUUCCAGGCCCCGCUUGGUUAUGGGCGCCCUUGUCCCGCCUUUUCGCGCGCGGACUCGCCUUAAGCACAUUAGGUAGCCGGCUCCGUCAGCCUCUGAGCGCAGUAGAAACGCGUCUCUGGACGGCGUGGGUGGCAGCCCUUGAGAAAAAAAGACCCCUCGAAGGACCUCGAAUCAAGCAGGAGUACCCGCUGAACUUAA
This 256-nucleotide unclassified non-coding RNA is filed under the name Pleosporales sp. RNAcentral's name for it is "partial contains 5.8S ribosomal RNA, internal transcribed spacer 2, and large subunit ribosomal RNA". Lineage: Eukaryota; Fungi; Ascomycota; Dothideomycetes; Pleosporales. The record is from RNAcentral.